Molecule: ribosomal RNA, 509 nt
Filed under: uncultured bacterium
Lineage: Bacteria
Description: bacterial SSU rRNA
Rfam family: Bacterial small subunit ribosomal RNA
Source: RNAcentral
CUGGCUCAGGAUGAACGCUAGCUACAGGCUUAACACAUGCAAGUCGAGGGGCAGCAUUGGGAUAGCUUGCUAUUCAGAUGGCGACCGGCGCACGGGUGAGUAACGCGUAUCCAACCUUCCUGCCAGUAGGGAACAGCCCGGCGAAAGUCGGAUUAAUGCCCUAUGUUCUUCAAUGCGGACAUCUAAGUUGAAGGAAAGAUUCAUCGCUGGCAGAUGGGGAUGCGUCCGAUUAGCUUGCCGGCGGGUAACGGCCCACCGGGGCGACGAUCGGUAGGGGUUCUGAGAGGAAGGUCCCCCACACUGGUACUGAGACACGGACCAGACUCCUACGGGAGGCAGCAGUGAGGAAUAUUGGUCAAUGGGCGUAAGCCUGAACCAGCCAAGUAGCGUGCAGGAAUGACGGCCCUACGGGUUGUAAACUGCUUUUAUGCGGGGAUAAAGUGCGGCACGUGUGCCGCUUUGCAGGUACCGCAUGAAUAAGGACCGGCUAAUUCCGUGCCAGCAGCAGC